CCCUUAGGUGUUCUGGGCCGCACGCGCGCUACACUGACUGGUGCAACAAGUGUCUGACCUUGGCUCGAGAGGCCUGGGCAACCUUUGAACGCCAGUCGUGCUGGGGAUAGAUUCUUGCAAUUAUUAAUCUUCAACGAGGAAUUCCUAGUAAACGCAAGUCAUCAGCUUGCAUUGAUUACGUCCCUGCCCUUUGUACACACCGCCCGUCGCACCUACCGAUUGAAUGGUCCGGUGAAAUCUCGGGACGGCGGCUUGGUCGCUUGCGUCCGACUGCUGAAACUUGAUUAAACCAUAUCAUUUAGAGGAAGGUGAAGUCGUANCA
RNAcentral lists this ribosomal RNA (322 nucleotides) under uncultured eukaryote. RNAcentral's name for it is "partial 18S ribosomal RNA". It matches the Rfam family "Eukaryotic small subunit ribosomal RNA", at positions 1470 to 1796 of the family's 1831-position model. The record is from RNAcentral.